CCUUGAGUUUGAUCAUGGCUCAGAUUGAACGCUGGCGGCAGGCUUAACACAUGCAAGUCGAGCGGAGAGAAGUAGCUUGCUACUGAUUUUAGCGGCGGACGGGUGAGUAAUACUUAGGAAUCUGGCUAUUAGUGGGGGACAACAUUUCGAAAGGGAUGCUAAUACCGCAUACGUCCUACGGGAGAAAGCAGGGGAUCAGUAAUGACCUUGCGCUAAUAGAUGAGCCUAAGUCGGAUUAGCUAGUUGGUGGGGUAAAGGCCUACCAAGGCGACGAUCUGUAGCGGGUCUGAGAGGAUGAUCCGCCACACUGGGACUGAGACACGGCCCAGACUCCUACGGGAGGCAGCAGUGGGGAAUAUUGGACAAUGGGGGGAACCCUGAUCCAGCCAUGCCGCGUGUGUGAAGAAGGCCUUAUGGUUGUAAAGCACUUUAAGCGAGGAGGAGGGUACUGGUAUUAAUACUACCAGCUACUGGACGUUACUCGCAGAAUAAGCACCGGCUAACUCUGUGCCAGCAGCCGCGGUAAUACAGAGGGUGCGAGCGUUAAUCGGAUUUACUGGGCGUAAAGCGUGCGUAGGCGGCUAAUUGAGUCGGAUGUGAAAUCC
RNAcentral lists this ribosomal RNA (605 nucleotides) under uncultured bacterium. Its description in RNAcentral is "bacterial SSU rRNA". It matches the Rfam family "Bacterial small subunit ribosomal RNA", at positions 1 to 602 of the family's 1533-position model. The record is from RNAcentral.